This 311-nucleotide ribosomal RNA is filed under the name uncultured bacterium. Its description in RNAcentral is "bacterial SSU rRNA". It matches the Rfam family "Bacterial small subunit ribosomal RNA", at positions 28 to 334 of the family's 1533-position model. The record is from RNAcentral.
GAUGAACGCUAGCGGCAGGCCUAACACAUGCAAGUCGAGGGGUAACAUAGAGAAGCUUGCUUUUCUGAUGACGACCGGCGCACGGGUGCGUAACGCGUAUGCAACCUACCUUAUACUGGGGAAUAGCCCGGAGAAAUCCGGAUUAAUGCCCCAUAGUAUUAUUCAUUCGCAUGUUUGAAUAAUUAAAGAUUACGGUAUAAGAUGGGCAUGCGUCCUAUUAGCUAGAUGGUAAGGUAACGGCUUACCAUGGCAUCGAUAGGUAGGGGGCCUGAGAGGGUGAUCCCCCACACUGGUACUGAGACACGGACCAG